AUUGAACGCUGGCGGCGGGCCUAAUACAUGCAAGUCGAACGAGUAGCGGACGGGCGGGUAAUUUCUGGGAACCUGCCUGAUGGAGGGGGAUAAGUAGGAGAAACCGUAGAUAAUACCGCUUAACAUCAUUUCUGCCCAGAGUGGAGUAGCGUGUUGGGGGGGUAACGGCUCACCAAGGCGACGAUGCCUAGCUGGUCUGAGAGGAUGACCGGCCACACUGGAACUGAGACACGGUCCAGACUCCGACGGGAGUCAGCAGUGGGGAAUAUUGCACAAUGGGCGCAAGCCUGAUGCAGCCAUGCCGCGUGUAUGAAGAAGGUUUUCGGGUUGUAAAGUACUUUCGUCAGGGAGGCGGUAUCCGCAGAGGAAGCAACGGCUAACUACGUGCCAGCCGCCGCGGUAAUAC
RNAcentral lists this ribosomal RNA (406 nucleotides) under uncultured bacterium. RNAcentral describes it as "partial 16S ribosomal RNA". It matches the Rfam family "Bacterial small subunit ribosomal RNA", at positions 30 to 526 of the family's 1533-position model. The record is from RNAcentral.